UACGAGGGGCGUAUGUCUAUUCUAUUAUACAGAUACUAAUUUUUUGGUUUAUAGGGCUACCACAUCCAAGGAAGGCAGCAGGCGCGCAAAUUACCCAAUCCCGACACGGGGAGGUAGUGACAAUAAAUACUGAUACAGGGCUCUUUUGGGUCUUGUAAUUGGAAUGAGUACAAUUUAAAUCCCUUAACGAGGAACGAUUGGAGGGCAAGUCUGGUGCCAGCAGCCGCGGUAAUUCCAGCUCCAAUAGCGUAUAUUAAAGUUGUUGCAGUUAAAAAGCUCGUAGUUGAACCUUGGGCCUGGCUGGCCGGUCCGCCUCACCGCGUGCACUGGUCCGGCCGGGCCUUUCCUCCUGGGGAGCCGCAUGCCCUUCACUGGGUGUGUCGGGGAACCAGGACUUUUACUUUGAAAAAAUUAGAGUGUUCAAAGCAGGCCUAUGCUCGAAUACAUUAGCAUGGAAUAAUAGAAUAGGACGUGUGGUUCUAUUUUGUUGGUUUCUAGGACCGCCGUAAUGAUUAAUAGGGAUAGUCGGGGGCAUCAGUAUUCAAUUGUCAGAGGUGAAAUUCUUGGAUUUAUUGAAGACUAACUACUGCGAAAGCAUUUGCCAAGGAUGUUUUCAUUAAUCAGUGAACGAAAGUUAGGGGAUCGAAGACGAUCAGAUACCG
This 662-nucleotide ribosomal RNA is filed under the name uncultured fungus. RNAcentral's name for it is "SSU rRNA". It matches the Rfam family "Eukaryotic small subunit ribosomal RNA", at positions 397 to 1017 of the family's 1831-position model. The record is from RNAcentral. Lineage: Eukaryota; Fungi.